CUCCUGUAGCCCAUGAGGCCUUGUGGAACAGCCUCCUGCUUCUUGACCUCAGCCAGACCAUUGACCUCUUAUAAUAUGCCACCGCUAACAAACCGUUGGGCCCUCUGGCUCAUCUGCAUCUAGAAACUUCCAUGCACAUCCCUUGGCCUGGCAUGCUCUCCCCUCAGAUGUUGACGUGGCUCGUUCUACAUUCAGGUUUCUUCUUAAACAUCACUUCCUUCUGGAGCACCCAGAUUAAUACAGAGCUGUCCUCAAAUCCAUCACUGCUCACCCCCAUUCUGUUUUAUGUUUCUUCUAACACUUAUCAGUAACUAAAUAUUUACCUAAUUACCUGUUUACAUUUCUCUCCCAUCAGAAUAUAAGCCCCAGAAGGACAGAGACUUGUCUUAUUCAUGAAUGUCUCCCUAUAGAUUCUGACUCUAAGUCAGCACUGAGCCCAGGAAUCUAUUUUUAAUGGACAGCCCAGGGCAUUUGAAGCAACUAAGGAGAACAGCCCUUGGGAGACCUUAACUGACAUCAAACUGUCCUUAAACCUGAGGUGGUUGUUGUUGUUGUUGGAGGUUUAAUUUGCUGUUCAUCUGUUUUGCUAGUUUUUAAAGUAAAACUUUAAAAAAAAAAUCUUUCCAAGGUCCAGAAUGCCCAUGACUCAAUGUUGUAGUGAUCUGCCAGAAAUCAUUUAAAUAAUAAUAAUGAUAACUGCAGAGAAUUCUCUAGAAACAAGGUAUAAGCUCCAAAUAAUUGAGAAAUGACUCUGUGUUGAAGAAAUUAUCUGCAACUAGUUUGCAGUUUAUGAAGUAUUAAGAUGAUCACCUUUUGUCCAUUUUCAGCUCCUGUCACAUAACAUUCUUGUGGAACAUGCCCUACUUUUCUCAUUCUAAUGUCCAUGUUAUCAUCACCAAUCACCCUUUUGUGGCUUCAUUGGUUGUAAUGAUGUGCCCGAGGGAAGUAGGGUGGAAUCUUCGGUUAAGCACAUAUGUUUUUUUUUUUUCUGGGUCUGAGAAUACCUUCUGGAUCUUAGAAGUUUCUAAACUAAAAAGCCAUGUAAAAAAGUAACACCACCCGAACAAAAUUAAAGUCAACUUGUAUAUGAAAAUACUGGGGAAAAUGUAAAAAAUGUUGGGCUUACAGAGAUUUAGGAUUCUCUCUAUGCAGAUACUUAAAAGCCAUUUAAAACUGUAUCCAAAGGAUAUAUUUUUAAAUAAUAAUAAAAAACCCAAACCUAAUGGACCA
Molecule: long non-coding RNA, 1230 nt
Filed under: Sus scrofa (pig)
Lineage: Eukaryota; Metazoa; Chordata; Mammalia; Artiodactyla; Suidae
Description: lncRNA (ENSSSCG00055014451.1)
Source: RNAcentral